UACGAAGGGGGCUAGCGUUGCUCGGAAUCACUGGGCGUAAAGCGCACGUAGGCGGAUUGUUAAGUCAGGGGUGAAAUCCUGGAGCUCAACUCCAGAACUGCCUUUGAUACUGACGGUCUUGAGUUCGGGAGAGGUGAGUGGAACUGCGAGUGUAGAGGUGAAAUUCGUAGAUAUCGAGAGGAACACCUGCGGCGAAGGCGGGUUGCUGGGCUGACACUGACGCUGAUGCGCGAAAGCGUGGGGAGCAAACGGG
This 253-nucleotide ribosomal RNA is filed under the name uncultured bacterium. RNAcentral's name for it is "partial 16S ribosomal RNA". It matches the Rfam family "Bacterial small subunit ribosomal RNA", at positions 524 to 776 of the family's 1533-position model. The record is from RNAcentral.